AGCUAGCAUGGCACAGUGGUUUGAGUGUUGGACUAGGACUUUGGAGACCAGGGUUCAAUUCCUUGCUUGGCCA
Phrynosoma platyrhinos (Desert horned lizard) is the source of this 73-nucleotide non-coding RNA. The record is from the annotation of a GenBank genome assembly. Lineage: Eukaryota; Metazoa; Chordata; Lepidosauria; Squamata; Phrynosomatidae.